RNAcentral lists this ribosomal RNA (253 nucleotides) under uncultured bacterium. RNAcentral describes it as "partial 16S ribosomal RNA". It matches the Rfam family "Bacterial small subunit ribosomal RNA", at positions 524 to 776 of the family's 1533-position model. The record is from RNAcentral.
UACAUGGGGUGCAAACGUUGCUCGGAAUUAUUGGGCGUAAAGCGCGCGUAGGCGGUUACUUAAGUCGGGGGUGAAAUCCUGGAGCUCAACUCCAGAAUUGCCUUCGAUACUGGCUUUCUAGAGGCUGGAAGAGGUUAGUGGAAUUCCCAGUGUAGAGGUGAAAUUCGUAGAUAUUGGGAAGAACACCAGUGGCGAAGGCGGCUAACUGGUCCAGAUCUGACGCUGAGGUGCGAAAGCGUGGGGAGCAAACAGG